UGUAUCAGAUGAAAUACUCUUUAAUCUACUCAAAAUAAGAUAUUAGGCACAAGAUCAAAAUAACAGUUGCAUCAAGACCAUGGAGCAGAUGAACUCAAGUGGAUCCAAAUACUUGCAUCAGAUGAAAACCCAAAUCACAAUAACUUGGUCUCAGAAAUGUUGGCAUUGGCUAAGUCCUUUUGCAUAUGGAAUGUUGCCUAAUUCUAAGUCCAGAAAUUC
Molecule: long non-coding RNA, 219 nt
Filed under: Lathyrus oleraceus (garden pea)
Lineage: Eukaryota; Viridiplantae; Streptophyta; Magnoliopsida; Fabales; Fabaceae
Description: Pisum sativum (pea) long non-coding RNA (PSAT_LNC019176)
Source: RNAcentral